UACGGGGGGGGCAAGCGUUGUUCGGAAUUACUGGGCGUAAAGGGCUCGUAGGCGGCCAACUAAGUCAGACGUGAAAUCCCUCGGCUUAACCGGGGAACUGCGUCUGAUACUGGAUGGCUUGAGUUUGGGAGAGGGAUGCGGAAUUCCAGGUGUAGCGGUGAAAUGCGUAGAUAUCUGGAGGAACACCGGUGGCGAAGGCGGCAUCCUGGACCGACACUGACGCUGAGGAGCGAAAGCCAGGGAGCAAACGGG
RNAcentral lists this ribosomal RNA (252 nucleotides) under uncultured bacterium. RNAcentral describes it as "partial 16S ribosomal RNA". It matches the Rfam family "Bacterial small subunit ribosomal RNA", at positions 524 to 776 of the family's 1533-position model. The record is from RNAcentral.